CAACUUUCAACAACGGAUCUCUUGGCUCUCGCAUCGAUGAAGAACGCAGCGAAAUGCGAUAAGUAAUGUGAAUUGCAGAAUUCAGUGAAUCAUCGAAUCUUUGAACGCACCUUGCGCCCCUUGGUAUUCCGAGGAGCAUGCCUGUUUGAGUGUCAUUA
Molecule: ribosomal RNA, 158 nt
Filed under: Haasiella splendidissima
Lineage: Eukaryota; Fungi; Basidiomycota; Agaricomycetes; Agaricales; Hygrophoraceae
Description: 5.8S ribosomal RNA
Rfam family: 5.8S ribosomal RNA
About the family: 5.8S ribosomal RNA (5.8S rRNA) is a component of the large subunit of the eukaryotic ribosome. It is transcribed by RNA polymerase I as part of the 45S precursor that also contains 18S and 28S rRNA.
Source: RNAcentral